UUCAUAUCCAAAUUCGAUAUUGUGGCAGACCCUAACUUAAUUAUAAUUAUUAUAAUAGGGCUAAGGUCCUUCACUAGAAAAGGGUCAAAAAAGGAGGAAAUGGGGUAAACCGAAUUUAUGGCGACUAUCUAAGAAUUUCAAUGUGUGAAUCGUAGGUUCAGACUCUAAAACUUAUCUGAUUUUAUCAAUUGUUAGAGAAUUUUUUCUCAAAGAAAUCAUGAAUCUUAUAGGAUAUUGUUAAGGAUCUCAUCGAAAACUUACAGUAACUUGCCAAACAAAGGCUAAGAGGAAAAAAAAACACAGGUAUGACCGGCAUAACAUCUACGAUUGGAUUCAAAAAAGCAUAGGCUUCAGGCAAUUUGCCGAAGAAAAAACUAUUUUAAUGAUGGGCAGAAUUAAGACAAAUAUAGAUCAAAUUAAAGAUAUUGAGCAUAAUAGAUAUUUUGUUCUUGGAGAUAAUUGCAUUUUGAUUGAGUUAGUGAUAUAAGGAAA
Molecule: long non-coding RNA, 492 nt
Filed under: Olea europaea subsp. europaea
Lineage: Eukaryota; Viridiplantae; Streptophyta; Magnoliopsida; Lamiales; Oleaceae
Source: RNAcentral